Molecule: ribosomal RNA, 568 nt
Filed under: Colletotrichum gloeosporioides
Lineage: Eukaryota; Fungi; Ascomycota; Sordariomycetes; Glomerellales; Glomerellaceae
Description: eukaryotic LSU rRNA
Rfam family: 5.8S ribosomal RNA (bases 195-348)
Source: RNAcentral
UGAACCUGCGGAGGGAUCAUUACUGAGUUUACGCUCUAUAACCCUUUGUGAACAUACCUAUAACUGUUGCUUCGGCGGGUAGGGUCUCCGUGACCCUCCCGGCCUCCCGCCCCCGGGCGGGUCGGCGCCCGCCGGAGGAUAACCAAACUCUGAUUUAACGACGUUUCUUCUGAGUGGUACAAGCAAAUAAUCAAAACUUUUAACAACGGAUCUCUUGGUUCUGGCAUCGAUGAAGAACGCAGCGAAAUGCGAUAAGUAAUGUGAAUUGCAGAAUUCAGUGAAUCAUCGAAUCUUUGAACGCACAUUGCGCCCGCCAGCAUUCUGGCGGGCAUGCCUGUUCGAGCGUCAUUUCAACCCUCAAGCUCUGCUUGGUGUUGGGGCCCUACAGCUGAUGUAGGCCCUCAAAGGUAGUGGCGGACCCUCCCGGAGCCUCCUUUGCGUAGUAACUUUACGUCUCGCACUGGGAUCCGGAGGGACUCUUGCCGUAAAACCCCCAAUUUUCCAAAGGUUGACCUCGGAUCAGGUAGGAAUACCCGCUGAACUUAAGCAUAUCAAUAAGCGGGAGGAA